This is a non-coding RNA of Elaeis guineensis (African oil palm), 2073 nucleotides long. NCBI's taxonomy places the organism in Eukaryota, Viridiplantae, Streptophyta, Magnoliopsida, Arecales, Arecaceae. The record is from RefSeq and is a predicted model, not a curated record.
UUUUGUAGGUUUUGUAUAUAAAUGUACAGAGGGUGGCCAUUGUAUCAAAAAAAAAAAAAAACUUCUGCAAUUGAAAUUAUUUCCUCCAUUUUCCCUUCUCUUUUCUCAACAGGAACUGUAUGUAGGAUCUGUGGGAUCAUGGUUGCGAUGAAGGAUUUUAAGUUACAACUCCUGGUUAGAGGAAAGUGUCCUCUUUUUCUUUUGCGUUUUAUAAAGAAAACUAAAUUACACAUAACAUGCAUGGGGCAACAUUGAGUAAAACUCUUUCACAAUUGCUUUUGACGUGUCACAUUAACCAAAAUCUCUAUAAGUUUUGCUCACGUUCUAGCUGUUUGCAUUCCCUUUAUUCCAUUUUACAAUUUGUGCCUUAAAAAAAAUGAUCUUUUGGUAAGCUUUAUUAAUUAAAUCUAAUGGCAUUUCUGUCAACAAUUUUGACAUAUGGAACUUUUUUAUCAUAUUUCCCCUCUCAUAUUAUAACAAAGUAUAGAUAUUUGUAUUGAGUUUUCCUAUCCAAAUAGGACUUCAUGGGACAAGCAUGUUGAUGUGCCUCAAUAUUGGUAUAUCUCCUCGAUCUUGACCACAACUGCACUAGACAAGGAACCUAUGUAGAACACCCUAGUACAAUCAAUAUAAUCCUUUAGAGUGCACUACUACAUUCUUUUUAUGCUAUUAUUUAAUUUAUCAUGUAUCACUGGAUGUCUUUCCCCUCACGUACUAUUCUAAGCUGUCUCUUCUCUGCAAACUAGUUGAAGUUUAGGUCUUUCUAGGAUCGGGUAGGAUGGUGUUUAAACACAUUUGGGGCUUGGCCCAAGCUCGCUAUAUAUUUAAGCCCAACUUAUGAGCCAGUUUAGCAUGAGCAAUUUCUUAUAUUUGUUUGCCAAUGGCUUUUUGGGUCUGCUGGGUUAUAGUUGACACUGAUGUGGCUUGAAUUUGGCUUGUGUUUUAAAUUUUAUAUUGUUUAGGAGUUGUUAUUGAGGCACGACCUAUUCGUGAACAUGUUCAUUCAUUCAUUGCUCUGGUCAUCAAUUCCAUCCUUUAUUUCAUUCUUGAACCUGAAAAAGAAGAACAAUGUAAGCAAUACAACUAGCUUGCAUCUUAGUGACCAAGGUUUAUACUCUUAAUAAUAUUUGCUGAUCUUAAUAAACUCUACGUUUUUCUCUCUAUGAUUUUUUUUUAUAAUUUUCUGAAGUCAACAUUUCCACUGAGGAUACCGCUCCAAUUUUACCAUGUGAAAUUAGUUAUAUAAGAAAUUAAACAAGGGCUAAACUAUGCAAGCCAUAUUGAAUGUCUAGCAUUUAUAAUGUUAGGUUGAUGCAAUUGAUGAAGAUUUUGCUAUCAUCCUUUUAUUUACUAAAUGCUCUAUGUUAGCAAUAAUAGAAUUUCAAGGUCACUUAAAUGAUGUCAUGGUGAUAAAGUGAUAACUCUGAAUUUUUGAGGUAACAUUUGGUGGUUCUGAUCUCUGAAAAGAACUCAUCCAUGAUGAAGCAUCUUUUUCUUGGAGCUAUCAACUUCAAGCACAUAAUGAAUUUUUUUAAAAUUGGAGUAACGAUUUUAUUACUCCCUUCCAAGUGUUCUAUGGAAGUUAGGGUACUCUUAUCUUGAGAGAAGAGUAACUUAUUUGUUAACUUUCAACCUUAUUAAACCUGCAUUUAUUUAGCGUUUAAUGUAGGGUUUUUUGCAUGUAUUCCUCUAGUCUCUAAUAUUUAAUAUGUUCAAUGACAUCCUUUAUCCUCUCUUAUAUUAUUCAAGAUAGUUUGGGUCAUUCAACUUUGUUUUAUUGUAUACACUGGUAGUCUCUAUGUUCUCUUAUUCUAUACAUGAUAUUACUUGAGGAUUUUAUAAUUGGAUGUGGCUUUUACCUUUUAGGGGCUUCAAUAAAUGCUUUUGGGGCAAUUGUUUUGGGUGCACCUGUUGGUAUUAAGUAUUUGACAAAGACAAUCUACUGGUCUUUCCUCAUGUCCUUAUUCACUGUGGAGUGUCUGUGGUGCUUGUGUACAUGUGAGCCUUGUUCAUAAUCAAAAACUUGGAUCUGAUACUAGCUUGGAUGCUGUCCCCAUCCUUGCUGUUCAUAUG